CUUUCCUGUAGUUUCCUGAUAAAAGGUCCUUUUGAAACAUUCAUUCUCUUCUCACCAAGUUGAACGGAGAUGUGUUCCCAUAGUAAGAGUGAGGCCCCUGCAUUUGCUGCCCUCGGUUUUUCCAACCAACACCAUGGCCUCCCCCCGUACCCCAUUCAUACGCCUCAGAAGCUGACAAUGACUGUUGGGCUUUUCCAAUGAAUACCAGAACACCAUUUCCUGCAGCCUGAAAAGAAGACAGUAUAAUUAUUUGGCAGCAAGAGAAACCAGGUGCCCUACCAUGAGAAACCCAAGCCAUGUGGAGAAGCCACAUCUAGGGACUCCAGUUAACACUCUCAGCUGAGUUCCCAGCUGACAGUCAGCAUCAACUGCCAGCCACCUCUGCCUAAAAGUGGGCCAUCUUGGGCAUCCGGCCCAGUCAAGCCUUCAGAUGAGUCCAGUCCCAGCUACUAUCUCACACAACCACACGAGAGACAUCAAGAACUCCCAGUGGAGUCCAGUCAGCCCAUGGAACUGUAAGAGACAGGAUCUCACUGUGUUGCUCAGACUGGUCUCGAACUCCUGGGCUUAAGGGAUUAUCCUGCCUCAAUCACAGUCUCCCAAGUAGCUGAGAUUACAAGUGCUCACCACCGUGCCAGCCAGUUCAGUUUUUGAGGGUGGAGCCAAGACUCUGAGGAGAGGGCUGAACUGUGAACCUAGAAGUACCAUCUCCCCCUGCACACGCCUUUGGUCAAGUUGACCCCAAGAAGAAGGACAAGUCCUCUGCACACCGAUGACACCAUACACACAGUCUGUGGCCCGGCUUUGGGAGACUGAUGGGACAAAGGAUGCUUUGCAUGAUCCUUGGUCUCUGAGCAAAUAUAUACGUGGGUUAACA
Molecule: long non-coding RNA, 877 nt
Filed under: Pongo abelii (Sumatran orangutan)
Lineage: Eukaryota; Metazoa; Chordata; Mammalia; Primates; Hominidae
Description: lincRNA
Source: RNAcentral